AGAACGAACGCUGGCGGCAUGCCUAAUACAUGCAAGUCGAACGAACACUUCGGUGUUAGUGGCGCACGGGUGCGUAACGCGUGGGAAUCUGCCCUUGGGUUCGGAAUAACAGUUGGAAACGACUGCUAAUACCGGAUGAUAUCGAAAGAUCAAAGAUUUAUCGCCCAGGGAUGAGCCCGCGUAGGAUUAGCUAGUUGGUGAGGUAAAGGCUCACCAAGGCGACGAUCCUUAGCUGGUCUGAGAGGAUGAUCAGCCACUACGUGGGACUG
Molecule: ribosomal RNA, 269 nt
Filed under: uncultured soil bacterium
Lineage: Bacteria
Description: partial 16S ribosomal RNA
Rfam family: Bacterial small subunit ribosomal RNA
Source: RNAcentral